Molecule: ribosomal RNA, 332 nt
Filed under: uncultured eukaryote
Lineage: Eukaryota
Description: partial 18S ribosomal RNA
Rfam family: Eukaryotic small subunit ribosomal RNA
Source: RNAcentral
CCCUUAGAUGUUCGGGGCCGCACGCGCGCUACACUGAAUGGAUCAACGUGCCUUUCCCGAGGCUGAAAAGUCGAGGUAAUCCUUUGAACCCCAUUCGUGACGGGGAUAGGAGCUUGCAAUUAUUCUCCUUGAACGAGGAAUUCCCAGUAAGCGCGAGUCAUCAGCUCGCGUUGAUUACGUCCCUGCCCUUUGUACACACCGCCCGUCGCUACUACCGAUCGGAUUGUCCUGUGAAUUUCUAGGAGAGUUGAGGUCCUGGCGCUUCGGUGUCGGCGACCUCAUGCUUGAAUUGAAUUGAACUGGACUCUCUAGAGGAAGUAAAAGUCGUAACA